This 412-nucleotide ribosomal RNA is filed under the name uncultured bacterium. RNAcentral's name for it is "partial 16S ribosomal RNA". It matches the Rfam family "Bacterial small subunit ribosomal RNA", at positions 355 to 758 of the family's 1533-position model. The record is from RNAcentral.
UGGGGAAUUUUGGACAAUGGGCGAAAGCCUGAUCCAGCAAUGCCGCGUGUGUGAAGAAGGCCUUCGGGUUGUAAAGCACUUUUGUCCGGAAAGAAAUCCUUGGCUCUAAUACAGUCGGGGGAUGACGGUACCGGAAGAAUAAGCACCGGCUAACUACGUGCCAGCAGCCGCGGUAAUACGUAGGGUGCAAGCGUUAAUCGGAAUUACUGGGCGUAAAGCGUGCGCAGGCGGUUUGCUAAGACCGAUGUGAAAUCCCCGGGCUCAACCUGGGGACUGCAUUGGUGACUGGCAGGCUAGAGUAUGGCAGGAGGGGGGUAGAAUUCCACGUGUAGCAGUGAAAUGCGUAGAGAUGUGGAGGAAUACCGAUGGCGAAGGCAGCCCCCUGGGCCAAUACUGACGCUCAUGCACGAAA